UGAUCGAGGCCGGCUGCGCAUGUGAAGCUCGCGUGCUCGGCGACUCGUCUGUUUUGGAUGUAGCCCGUUUUUGAGCUCCUGGCGUUCCCUUGUGUUCCGUCUGCAUUUCGACACGGCACCGCUUCACUACUAAAGCUGAUGGCAUCCGGUGGAGCAUCGUACGGCAACGACUGCUGCUUACCUGGUGCCACAACUUUGGAUGAAUGCAGAAGAAGCCCGGAACGAGCAUUUAUAUAGCGCAAAAUAAACAUUUCAUCAUUUCAAAAGACGUCUUUUGUUUUCUUUAUGAAAUUGCACCUGACAGAUUCGGCGCUGUCUUGUAAAGGUCAAUCGCAAUCAUUUCUACUUCAUAACGAAACGAUUCCACGCAAAGGCCACGCGAGGUUCAGCAGAAGCGAAAAAAAAAAAGAAUGAAUGCCGCGCCGAGCAGCGGAGCCGGCGCGGCGUGUACCAACUGGUGUUCGAAACGCGCGCGCCCAAAACCGAAACCGGAAGGAGUCAAUAACAUCCGCUAGGUGUGCUACAAUCAAUUCGGCCACUGGGCUCUCUAGGAGUGUCCGCUCUUGUUGAAAUUUGUUUCUCUAUGGCUUGAAGCCUGUUUCACAUGAUGCGAUUUUCGUCGCACCGGAAGUGCGAUUUCCGUCGUUUGCGAUGAAAAUCGCAGUCGCAGUGCCGACCCCCCGAUUUUCGGCUGCGACCAACCGGUUGGUCGCACAGUCGCACCGUCGCACCGAUCGCUGCGAUUUUCCGUCGAAAUUGCGCGGAGAGCUGUCAACGGAGCUAUUUCGCCGGUUUGUUUUGGAAAAUGGCGUCUCGUACGACAAGUGCAAUGCGCGGAGACGUAGAUCGUCGAAUUCGGUACGUACGCGAAGGGAGAAUAAAAAAACUUGUACCGCAGAUUGCAUUCUCCGAUUGCUAUGCGUUUGUUGACACGCUACACAGCAAAUGAAGUGCAUUUUCACGUUUGCUUCGUACGCCUUUGCGAGUUGUCAGUGCUAGGAGGUGUUCGAUCCCCACCAGACGACGAGGUCGUCACAAUGUUCUUUUGUAAAAUCGCGCUUACGGAGCAGCUUGAAUUAUUUCAACCUCGGCAAGGGCAAAUGACAAGACAGCAAAGUACCCGAAGUUUCAGCGUUGCGCUGAACGCGGUACCGUUCAGUUGCAUUUUCUUCUCGGUUUUCAAGCAUGAAUUUCCCGAUGCAUCUUGAAAGCUUAUCUUGCCUCUUAUUAAAUUUGACAGAGCAAAAGUGUAGGCUAUUGUAAUGAAUUUGCUACGAUAGCAUUAAAUCCGUGGUUUGAAUAAAAUAUUACAUGCACGUUAAGUUGCACCUCUUCUCUGGAGAAUUUUUUUUUUCUUGCACAGAAACCAAUAAACAUAGACUAUGUUGCGGA
This is a long non-coding RNA of Dermacentor andersoni, 1392 nucleotides long. RefSeq lists it as uncharacterized. The record is from RefSeq and is a predicted model, not a curated record. NCBI's taxonomy places the organism in Eukaryota, Metazoa, Arthropoda, Arachnida, Ixodida, Ixodidae.